ACACACGUACUACAAUGCUACGGACAAAGGGCAGCAAACUCGCGAGGGCAAGCAAAUCCCAUAAACCGUGGCUCAGUUCAGAUCGUAGGCUGCAACUCGCCUACGUGAAGUAGGAAUCGCUAGUAAUCGCAGGUCAGCAUACUGCGGUGAAUACGUUCCCGGGCCUUGUACACACCGCCCGUCACACCAUGGAAGUUGGCCAUGCCCGAAGUCGUUACUCCAACCCUUGUGGAGGAGGACGCCGAAGGUGGGGCUAAUGACUGGGGUGAAGUCGUAACAAGGUAGCCGUACCGGAAGGUGCGGCUGGAUCACCUCCUAACAGGGAGACAACAAAAUGUUUAAUAUUAAUUUUGUCACCUUAGGUCGAUCGGUAUCUCACGUUCUUAAUUAUUUUAAGAAUUUCAUUCCUAAGUUUUUUCUAGGUCACACCCAUUUCUUUUCCUGGGCCAUUAGCUCAGGUGGUUAGAGCGCACCCCUGAUAAGGGUGAGGUCCCUGGUUCAAGUCCAGGAUGGCCCAUAUCUCUAUGUUGGGGGUAUAGCUCAGUUGGUAGAGCGCCUGCUUUGCAAGCAGGAUGUCAGCGGUUCGAGUCCGCUUACCUCCACUGAUUACCACCUCUUCCAUAUUUUUAAGAAGGGAAACGUUAUGAGUCUGAUCAAAUUCUGAACGAAUCUAGCUUCUUAAUAAAUCAUUAAGAUGCUGGACUCAUUGAAUUUAUUCAUUGUUUUCAGAGAACCUUGACAACUGCAUAGAUUAUUUUUAAGACAAUAAGCAUCUUUAUGAUGCAGAUUUAUUAUUUUUGUGAAUGCAUUAAUAACAAUUCUAUUAAGCUGAUGCUUCAAUUUUUGAAGUUAUUGGUCAAGCUACAAAGGGCUCACGGAGGAUACCUAGGCACACAGAGGCGAUGAAGGACGUGGUUACCUGCGAUAAGUCUCGGGGAGUGGA
Molecule: small RNA, 943 nt
Filed under: uncultured bacterium
Lineage: Bacteria
Description: bacterial SSU rRNA
Rfam family: Bacterial small subunit ribosomal RNA (bases 1-319)
Source: RNAcentral